Molecule: non-coding RNA, 29 nt
Filed under: Cricetulus griseus (Chinese hamster)
Lineage: Eukaryota; Metazoa; Chordata; Mammalia; Rodentia; Cricetidae
Source: RNAcentral
CCCGGUCUACGGAACGCCAGGAGGGGCAC